Molecule: ribosomal RNA, 249 nt
Filed under: uncultured bacterium
Lineage: Bacteria
Description: partial small subunit ribosomal RNA
Rfam family: Bacterial small subunit ribosomal RNA
Source: RNAcentral
AGGACGAACGCUGGCGGCGUGCCUAACACAUGCAAGUGGAGCGACGAACCAGGCUUCGGCCUGGGGCAGAGCCGCGAACGGGUGAGUAACACGUGACUAACCUACCCUCGAGUGGGGAAUAACCUCGGGAAACCGGGGCUAAUACCGCAUAACAUCCACGGAUCAAAUUUUGCGUAAGCAGCUUGAGGAGGGGGUCGCGGCUGAUUAGCUAGUUGGCGGGGUAAUGGCCCACCAAGGCAGUGAUCAGUA